RNAcentral lists this ribosomal RNA (776 nucleotides) under uncultured bacterium. RNAcentral's name for it is "bacterial SSU rRNA". It matches the Rfam family "Bacterial small subunit ribosomal RNA", at positions 62 to 827 of the family's 1533-position model. The record is from RNAcentral.
UCGAGGGGCAGCGGGGUUGUAGCAAUACAACUGCCGGCGACCGGCGCACGGGUGAGUAACACGUAUGUAACCUGCCCUCUGCAGGGGGAUAAGCGGAAGAAAUUCCGUCUAAUACCGCAUAAUACAAUUUGGAGACAUCUCCGGGUUGUCAAAGGAGUGAUCCGGCAGAGGAUGGACAUGCGGCGCAUUAGCUAGUCGGCGGGGUAACGGCCCACCGAGGCUACGAUGCGUAGGGGUUCUGAGAGGAAGGUCCCCCACACUGGUACUGAGACACGGACCAGACUCCUACGGGAGGCAGCAGUGAGGAAUAUUGGUCAAUGGGCGGAAGCCUGAACCAGCCAAGUCGCGUGAGGGAAGACGGUCCUAUGGAUUGUAAACCUCUUUUGCAGGGGAGCAAGGCGCGGUACGUGUACCGCGAAGGAGAGUACCCUGAGAAAAAGCAUCGGCUAACUCCGUGCCAGCAGCCGCGGUAAUACGGAGGAUGCGAGCGUUAUCCGGAUUUAUUGGGUUUAAAGGGUGCGCAGGCGGACUGUUAAGUCAGCGGUAAAAUGUCGGUGCUCAACACCGGCCGGCCGUUGAAACUGGCAGCCUUGAGUGAGCGAGAAGUAUGCGGAAUGCGUGGUGUAGCGGUGAAAUGCAUAGAUAUCACGCAGAACUCCGAUUGCGAAGGCAGCAUACCGGCGCUCAACUGACGCUCAGGCACGAAAGCGUGGGUAUCGAACAGGCUUAGAUACCCUGGUAGUCCACGCAGUAAACGAUGAAUGCUCACUGUCCGG